RNAcentral lists this ribosomal RNA (251 nucleotides) under uncultured prokaryote. RNAcentral describes it as "partial 16S ribosomal RNA". It matches the Rfam family "Bacterial small subunit ribosomal RNA", at positions 525 to 775 of the family's 1533-position model. The record is from RNAcentral.
ACUUAGGUUUCAAUCUUUGAUCUUCCUCACUGGUCUUCCCUCUCGUUUCUUCUUUUCUUCAUUUCUUCUUUUAACUCCCCCUUCUCACCCGGGGAAUUUCAGGGGAAACCGCCGCUCUUGAGGCAGGUAGAGGUGACCGGAACGUGUGGUGGAGCGGUGAAAUGCGUAGAUAUCACACGGAACGCCGGUGGUGAAAACGGGUCACUGGGCCUGUCCUGACGCUGAGACGCGAGAGCGUGGGGAGCAAACAG